RNAcentral lists this ribosomal RNA (683 nucleotides) under uncultured bacterium. RNAcentral describes it as "bacterial SSU rRNA". It matches the Rfam family "Bacterial small subunit ribosomal RNA", at positions 8 to 688 of the family's 1533-position model. The record is from RNAcentral.
AGGGUUUGAUCAUGGCUCAGGAUGAACGCUAGCGGCAGGCCUAAUACAUGCAAGUCGAGGGGCAGCACUUACUUCGGUAAGUGGCGACCGGCGCACGGGUGAGUAACACGUAUGCAACCUACCUUUAACUGGGGCAUAGCUCGAGGAAACUCGAAUUAAUUCCCCAUAAUAUAAUACAUUAUCUCAUGAUAUAAUUAUUAAAGAUUUAUCGGUUAAAGAUGGGCAUGCGUCUGAUUAGUUUGUUGGUGAGGUAACGGCUCACCAAGACUUCGAUCAGUAGGGGGUCUGAGAGGAUGAUCCCCCACACUGGUACUGAGAUACGGACCAGACUUCUACGGAAGGCAGCAGUAAGGAAUAUUGGGCAAUGGGCGAAAGCCUGACCCAGCCAUGCCGCGUGCAGGAUGACGAUCUUACGGAUUGUAAACUGCUUUUAUAUAGGAAGAAAAUACUCUUGCGAGAGUAACUGACGGUACUAUAAGAAUAAGGACCGGCUAACUCCGUGCCAGCAGCCGCGGUAAUACGGAGGGUCCAAGCGUUGUCCGGAUUUAUUGGGUUUAAAGAGUGCGUAGGUGGUUUAUUAAGUCAGUGGUGAAAUCCUGCAGCUCAACUGUAGAACUGCCAUUGAAACUGAUAAACUUGAGUUUGGUUUAGGUAAGUGGAAUUUAUGAUGUAGCGGUGAAAUG